GGAGAGAUGGCCGAGAGGUCGAAGGCGCACGAUUGGAAAUCGUGUGACGGUUCAUAGCCGUCCGGAGGUUCGAAUCCUCUUCUCUCCGCCA
This 91-nucleotide transfer RNA is filed under the name Clostridia bacterium. Its description in RNAcentral is "tRNA-Ser". It matches the Rfam family "tRNA". From Rfam's summary of the family: Transfer RNA (tRNA) molecules are approximately 80 nucleotides in length. Their secondary structure includes four short double-helical elements and three loops (D, anti-codon, and T loops). Further hydrogen bonds mediate the characteristic L-shaped molecular structure. tRNAs have two regions of fundamental functional importance: the anti-codon, which is responsible for specific mRNA codon recognition, and the 3' end, to which the tRNAs corresponding amino acid is attached (by aminoacyl-tRNA synthetases). tRNAs cope with the degeneracy of the genetic code in two manners: having more than one tRNA (with a specific anti-codon) for a particular amino acid; and 'wobble' base-pairing, i.e. permitting non-standard base-pairing at the 3rd anti-codon position. Lineage: Bacteria; Bacillati; Bacillota; Clostridia. The record is from RNAcentral.